Molecule: long non-coding RNA, 394 nt
Organism: Dama dama (fallow deer)
Lineage: Eukaryota; Metazoa; Chordata; Mammalia; Artiodactyla; Cervidae
Exons: 3
Source: RefSeq, a predicted model, not a curated record
AUUCUCCCAUACGCAAGCUCCGAGAGACUUCAUGCCAGGCACAGGACACAGAAUAUGCUGAUAAUUAAGUGUCCAAGAUGGAUGGAGCACUGAGGAAAUUUGCUGAAGGCUGCUAGCCAGGAGACUCGAGAAGGAAUUGUUAAAAAGGAGAACUAUCCAAACAUUGUCCUCUCCCUUUGGAGCCUAAACAGGAAAGAAAACUCUUAGGUCUCCCUGUUGGUGGAACCCAUCCAAGCACUGGAGCCUUGUCAAUAUCGUGGCUGGAAGUUGGUUCCUGGAAGACAGAGAAGGAUAGAGAAGAUGGCAAUCUGGAAGGGCAAGGUAGAAUGACCUACACACAAACUUAGUGGCAAAUCACAUCUAUUCCCUAGGCUUUGAGUUCUUCACUUAUACA